UGGCGGACGGGUGAGUAACACGUGAGUAACCUACCUUUCAAAGGGGGAUAACGUCUGGAAACGGACGCUAAUACCGCAUAAUACUAUUUGAGGGCAUCCUUGGAUAGUCAAAGGAGAAAUCCGAUGGGAGAUGGACUCGCGGCUGAUUAGAUAGUUGGCGGGGUAGAGGCCCACCAAGUCGACGAUCAGUAGCCGGACUGAGAGGUUGAACGGCCACAUUGGGACUGAGACACGGCCCAGACUCCUACGGAAGGCAGCAG
This 260-nucleotide ribosomal RNA is filed under the name uncultured bacterium. RNAcentral describes it as "partial 16S ribosomal RNA". It matches the Rfam family "Bacterial small subunit ribosomal RNA", at positions 96 to 354 of the family's 1533-position model. The record is from RNAcentral.